Molecule: ribosomal RNA, 655 nt
Filed under: uncultured forest soil bacterium
Lineage: Bacteria
Description: bacterial SSU rRNA
Rfam family: Bacterial small subunit ribosomal RNA
Source: RNAcentral
GAGCGCCCCGCAAGGGGAGCGGCAGACGGGAGAGUAACACGAGGGAACGUACCCUUCAGUUCGGAACAACCCAGGGAAACUUGGGCUAAUACCGAAUACGUCCGUAAGGAGAAAGAUUUAUCGCUGAAGGAUCGGCCCGCGUCUGAUUAGCUAGUUGGUGAGGUAACGGCUCACCAAGGCUACGAUCAGUAGCUGGUCUGAGAGGAUGAUCAGCCUCACUGGGACUGAGACACGGCCCAGACUCCUACGGGAGACAGCAGUGGGGAAUAUUGGACAAUGGGCGCAAGCCUGAUCCAGCCAUGCCGCGUGGAUGAUGAAGGCCCUAGGGUUGUAAAGUCCUUUCGGCGGGGAAGAUAAUGACGGUACCCGCAGAAGAAGCCCCGGCUAACUUCGUGCCAGCAGCCGCGGUAAUACGAAGGGGGCUAGCGUUGCUCGGAAUCACUGGGCGUAAAGCGCACGUAGGCGGCUUUUUAAGUCAGGGGUGAAAUCCUGGAGCUCAACUCCAGAACUGCCUUUGAUACUGAGAGGCUUGAGUCCGGGAGAGGUGAGUGGAACUGCGAGUGUAGAGGUGAAAUUCGUAGAUAUUCGCAAGAACACCAGUGGCGAAGGCAGCUCACUGGCCCGGUACUGACGCUGAGGUGCGAAAGCGUGGGGA